RNAcentral lists this unclassified non-coding RNA (622 nucleotides) under Hevea brasiliensis (rubber tree). The record is from RNAcentral. Lineage: Eukaryota; Viridiplantae; Streptophyta; Magnoliopsida; Malpighiales; Euphorbiaceae.
CCUCUAUCACCUCCUUGCUCAGUGGCGCCCCUCCUGAUAAAACUGUUUUUAGCGAACUCAAAUCGUACUUGGACAUUAUCUGAUCGGCGCCGUUGAUCAUUGCUACUAAUAUUGGUGGCACCAGAGGGAGAUCCGUGGCACGGUACCUCUCGAUCGUGGAUAGCAUCUCGUGAAUCUCGAACUUCGAGAGCACUAUUAUCGUCGACCCUGAUGCAAGUAAUCCUGUCGCGAACGCUGCUAGACCGUAGAUGUGAAACAUAGGGACGGUGCAAAUAAACUUGUGCUCUCUAUCUUCGUUGAAACGUCCAACGAUGGUUUGAACCAUCGCGAUUAGGCUUCGAUGCGAGGAAACCACGCCCUUGCUUGCUCCGGUUGUGCCUGACGAAUAGAGCAGAGUAGCUGUGUCGUCUAUGUGGACUCGCUCCCUGAAUCGGCUCUCACUAGGCUCCUUCCUCAUCAUCUGGCUUAAAGUUGUAACGAUUUUGGCUUGAACAUUAUUGGUGGAAUUCUGAUCGUCUAUGAGGAUGAUGGGGAGAUUAGAGUUCGACUCGGCGAGUUUUGGGACGAGCUGGGGAGUAGUGAAGGCGAAUAGGGGUUUGGAGUCGGCGAUUUGCUUGGCGAU